AUGUGCACAUACACACACAGAAAUCCCCCACACAACCCCUAUACACCCCCCAAGCACUCCCCCCCCCAUGCACACAGCUGCCCAGUGCACACAUAUGCUACUGCACACACACACACACACACACACACACACACACACACCCUGUCUGCACACAUCCCCUCGUGCACACAAACACCUCAUGGACAUGUACACACACACACACACACAAACAUAUCAGCAUAUUCCCCCCCCUUGCAUUCCCAUCAUCCAAACUUCUACAUACCCCAUGCAUGUGUGUACACCCCCCCCACAUCCCUAAGCACACCGCCACAUGUGCACAUACACCCCAUUCAUGCACGCACCCCAACGAUGCACGCACAUUUACAUCCCACGCACAUACACACCCCCGUGCACACAUACACCCCCCAUGUAGCCCAUGCACACACACACAUCCAUACACACUGCCCCAUGUACACACUCCCACACAGCCCCGUGCACACACAUGCACACGUCUGCACGCACACGUACACACACAUGCACACAUACAUGUCCCCGUGCACACAAACCCCAUGCACAUGUGCACAUCCAUGCACGCACACGCACACACAUGCACACAACCCUCCCGGCUCUCCCUGCGCAGGGCAGAGCUGCCUCCCACCCUGGCGCUGCCCAUGGCUCUGUGCUCCAGCUGGGCUCCAGGGCAGCCCGAGCCGGGGGUCCCAGGGAGGGAGGGCCACGGGGCUGCAAGCCCCCUCGGCCCUGCCACGGCCCCGCAGCCCUCUGCGCUCCUCCGCCAUCCCCAGCGCCGCGCGGGGCGGCUGGGGGAAGCUGGGCUGCGAGCCCCAUCUCCUGGCGAGCAGGAGCAGCUCUGCGCAGAGCGGUGCAGAAAUGGGACCGGACAGGCAGCUCUCCCGCUCGGCUCGGCCCGGGCCCCCUGGGACGCGGGGCAAGAGGGGGGGUCGGGCUGCAGAGCCACGUCACGCCCCGGUGCAGGCCCUGGACCUACCGGCAUGGGAAGGCUCCCGUGCCCACAUCGGGAAUACGGCUGUGUCUCAAAUGGCCGGAGCAAAGCCCAGCCAGGCACGGAGAGGGCUCAGCUGCGCUGCGCCGACGUGGAGACGCCAUAGGCAUCUCCAGGCUAGGAAGGGGGGAGAUGCCUGCAGGGCCCCCUGA
RNAcentral lists this long non-coding RNA (1152 nucleotides) under Apteryx haastii (Great spotted kiwi). RNAcentral's name for it is "lncRNA (ENSAHAG00000019677.1)". The record is from RNAcentral. Lineage: Eukaryota; Metazoa; Chordata; Aves; Apterygiformes; Apterygidae.